AGGGUGAAGCGCGGGUAAGACCGCGUGGAGGCCCGAACCCACUUAGGUUGAAGACUGAGGGGAUGAGUUGUGGGUAGGGGUGAAAGGCCAAUCAAACUCCGUGAUAGCUGGUUCUCCCCGAAAUGCAGUUAGGUGCAGCGUCGCAGUGUUCGUGUCGGAGGUAGAGCUACUGGAUGGCCGAUGGGCCUCACAAGGUUACUGACGUCAGCCAAACUCCGAAUGCCGACACGGUUGAAUGCGGCAGUGAGACGGCGG
RNAcentral lists this ribosomal RNA (255 nucleotides) under Mycobacterium sp. ITM-2017-0098. RNAcentral's name for it is "partial 23S ribosomal RNA". It matches the Rfam family "Bacterial large subunit ribosomal RNA", at positions 742 to 994 of the family's 2925-position model. Lineage: Bacteria; Bacillati; Actinomycetota; Actinomycetes; Mycobacteriales; Mycobacteriaceae. The record is from RNAcentral.